GAAAUUGCUGUCCGCAGCACAAUGAACCAUCAUGUGGUCCACAACAGGGUGGAUGUUGCUGAUCACAAGAGGAGCCACAAGGGGGUGGCCAUUGACCGUGAGAUCCAUCCCAAGAUGGCGGCGCCCUUUCACGUGGCAGAGGGCCGCAACAUGGCAACCGUCCCCGGCACAAGCUGGAACAGUCACGCGGCUUGCCGGAAGGAAACAGCGACCGAGACCUAGUACAGUAGGCUGCAGCCACCAUGAACUGCAGCCCAGCCAUGCCACCCUGCCUUGGAGCCAACUGAGUAUGGACUGAAACCUUCAAAAACUCUUCCGGAGCACUGAAACUAUACGAGUGUGCCAUGAUGCCUGACUGCUUGGCUGAAUCUUGAAGGCAUUAUGCUAAUAAUGUAAGCCAGUCACAGAAAGAC
Long non-coding RNA from Cavia porcellus (domestic guinea pig), 413 nucleotides. RefSeq lists it as uncharacterized. The record is from RefSeq and is a predicted model, not a curated record. The transcript has 3 exons. Lineage: Eukaryota; Metazoa; Chordata; Mammalia; Rodentia; Caviidae.